This 409-nucleotide ribosomal RNA is filed under the name uncultured soil bacterium. Its description in RNAcentral is "bacterial SSU rRNA". It matches the Rfam family "Bacterial small subunit ribosomal RNA", at positions 509 to 916 of the family's 1533-position model. The record is from RNAcentral.
CAGCCGCCGCGGUAAUACGUAGGGGGCUAGCGUUGUCCGGAUUUAUUGGGCGUAAAGAGCGUGUAGGCGGCCAGGCAAGUCCGACGUGAAAUCUGGAGGCUUAACCUCCAGCGGUCGUUGGAAACUGCUUGGCUAGAGUCCGGAAGAGGAGAGUGGAAUUCCUGGUGUAGCGGUGAAAUGCGCAGAUAUCAGGAAGAACACCUAUGGCGAAAGCAGCUCUCUGGGACGGUACUGACGCUGAGACGCGAAAGCGUGGGGAGCGAACAGGAUUAGAUACCCUGGUAGUCCACGCCGUAAACGAUGGGUGCUAGGUGUGGGCGGUGUCGACUCCGUCCGUGCCGAAGCUAACGCAUUAAGCACCCCGCCUGGGGAGUACGGCCGCAAGGCUAAAACUCAAAUGAAUUGACGG